Molecule: long non-coding RNA, 235 nt
Filed under: Mytilus galloprovincialis (Mediterranean mussel)
Lineage: Eukaryota; Metazoa; Mollusca; Bivalvia; Mytilida; Mytilidae
Source: RNAcentral
GUGUUAAACAAAUAAUCAAUUACAUCGCUGGAGCGUGUAGAUUUGUAUCAGGAACAACUAAAACCAUUGUUCAAUAUUCAAUUUUACUAGUACUGAAAACGAAAAAGGAAGUAUAUGCAAUAUGUUUAUUAUCACAUACGAGAGUCUGGAUAAGAGUCCACUCAAUUGUUUAUGCUAUGUAAUUUUUUCUAUUUUGUAUAAUUAUUGCCCAUUUUCUGUUUAAUCUAUAUUUCAG